AUUUUAUAUCCUAUGAAAACACAAAAUAUUUUCAAAAAAAUAAAUAUAUGUGUAUAUGUAUAUAUAUAUAUAUAUAUACCGUCAUAACAACAUCAAGGAUAAGACUCAAAAACAUUAUCGAACACAAAAACCAACACUUCUCGAUAUUUGUUGCUAAAGAAUUUUCCACUCCAUCUUCUUUCUCACUUAUGUAUUAUUCACUGAUUUGUUGGUUACUUUCGCUUGAUCUCCAAAUAUCUAUCUUAUAUAUACAAGUACCGUGCUGACGUAAUAAUUCCUUUUAAGGAAUACAUAUGGAAGGAGAAAUUCAACAAAAUGGUGGGAACAGUUUCAUUAUGACCUAUUCUAAAAUACGUGGAAUUAUGAUUAUAUUGACAUCACAAAUUCUUUUAUUUCAUGAAAGAUUACACCUUUCCAUACCGGAAUAAAUAGGAAGACAAAUCUAUUCGGAUAAUUCAUUUUUCUACCGGUUAUGGACGAUUUUUUUUAUAUCAUACGUAUUACUUUAUAAUACUAUUGUGUUGACAAUUAAGUGAUUACGGAAAGUGUAAAGUCCAUUUAUCGAUAAAAUCCGCAAUCACUUAGUUUCCAACCCAAUAUAACAGAAGACUUAAAGGAAGAGCAGCCAAAAAGAAUAUCGUUCUCUCGAGGAUUAUAACAACAACCAUAACCGUCUGGUACAACCGGACCAUAGCACAUAAAUGACAUCGUUUUAUGAGGCACCUGUUGAUUAAAGAAUUAUAUCAGGACUAUUGUGUACAAUUGUAAAAAUACUUAUUAAGAAAUAAGAACUGUAUUCUUACUUGACUCGAUGUUAUAUUAUAAUAUGUACUUUUAAUAUAUGCAACAUCCUUAUACAAUUCUGGAAGACACAUUGAUUCUGUAGAAGCUAUCAUUUUUAAACCAUACAAGUGCUUAUCGACACCUUGUCCUAAUGUAGCCUGAAGAGAAAAAUAAAUUUUAUAUUUUUAUAUAAAAGACUUUAUUGUCGCAUUGACUACUUUGAAAUAAUUUUUCACUAAUCGUUAUGUUCAUCUAAUACACUUUAACACCUAAUAUACUUGAUAAAGUUUUAUACAUAAGUUAGUAACUUUAGUUCUCUGAAAUGUUAUAAAGGAAAUCUUAAAAACGUAAUAAUAAAUACAUACAAGAAUACAGACCUCGGAUGCACUUUCUU
Long non-coding RNA from Vespa velutina, 1177 nucleotides. RefSeq lists it as uncharacterized. The record is from RefSeq and is a predicted model, not a curated record. The transcript is spliced from 3 exons. Lineage: Eukaryota; Metazoa; Arthropoda; Insecta; Hymenoptera; Vespidae.